UCAAACUUGGUCAUUUAGAGGAAGUAAAAGUCGUAACAAGGUUUCCGUAGGUGAACCUGCGGAAGGAUCAUUACAGGUCAAGCUGGGAUUUGUUUCUAUUCAUUGGGGUAGAACUUAUCUCGGUAGAUAUGAUCAUCCUUUUGUGCACGAAUUGAUACUUUACGGGCUUUGGCAGAUGUAAAAGUCUGUCAGAGUUUUGUUAGCAAUAAACUUUUAGUCUGAAUUUUUGACUGAAUUUUAUUUAUGAGCAAUAAAUACAACUUUCAACAACGGAUCUCUUGGCUCUCGCAUCGAUGAAGAACGCAGC
This 307-nucleotide unclassified non-coding RNA is filed under the name uncultured fungus. Its description in RNAcentral is "partial contains small subunit ribosomal RNA, internal transcribed spacer 1, and 5.8S ribosomal RNA". The stretch from base 1 to 73 matches the Rfam family "Eukaryotic small subunit ribosomal RNA", at positions 1759 to 1831 of the family's 1831-position model. Lineage: Eukaryota; Fungi. The record is from RNAcentral.